AACGAACGCUGGCGGCAUGCCUAACACAUGCAAGUCGAACGAUGCUUUCGGGCAUAGUGGCGCACGGGUGCGUAACGCGUGGGAAUCUGCCCUUGGGUUCGGGAUAACCGUUGGAAACGUCGGCUAAUACCGGAUGAUGACGUAAGUCCAAAGAUUUAUCGCCAAGGGAUGAGCCCGCGUAGGAUUAGCUAGUUGGUGGGGUAAAGGCCUACCAAGGCGACGAUCCUUAGCUGGUCUGAGAGGAUGAUCAGCCACACUGGGACUGAGACACGGCCCAGACUCCUACGGGAGGCAGCAGUGGGGAAUAUUGGACAAUGGGCGAAAGCCUGAUCCAGCAAUGCCGCGUGAGUGAUGAAGGCCUUAGGGUUGUAAAGCUCUUUUACCCGGGAUGAUAAUGACAGUACCGGGAGAAUAAGCCCCGGCUAACUCCGUGCCAGCAGCCGCAGUAA
This 449-nucleotide ribosomal RNA is filed under the name uncultured bacterium. RNAcentral's name for it is "partial 16S ribosomal RNA". It matches the Rfam family "Bacterial small subunit ribosomal RNA", at positions 29 to 523 of the family's 1533-position model. The record is from RNAcentral.